AGUAGAGUCGAGAAAUUGGCCAUGAGGGCAGGCAGCCCCAGUGGUCGCAGCCCCUCAUCCCCAGACCUUGCUCGGGAACCAGACUUGUACCCCGCUUGGUGCCUCCUGCCAACAGCACAGGCCUGAGAAUGGAGCAACCUUUCUCACGUGGGACUCAGGCCAUGCCAAGAAAGAUUGCACAGCACAUCCUGGCAGGUUUCGCCACCAAGAGGCGACAGGAAAUGCUAAGAAUGGCUCCACUUAGCUUCCAGAAAUCAUGGCAACAAGUAGAACAUUUUCUGUCCACAUCCAGAGGGAGAAGCCACAGGAGGAAAUACCUUGAAGCUUGUGGGACGUGCCUGGUGAGCCAACAAGAACUUGCUGAGUACAGGACGGACAAGGUUGGCAUUCCGCUGGCUCUACAGGGGAUCAACGGGAAGGAUGGAGAGAACAGCUUGUGUGCCAGGUGGGGAGACGGACAUGGACCAAUACUGAAUAACCUACAACACAAUGGUUUAGAAAGAGAAUUCAAGUGAGAAAACCCAGGCUCAGGAAGGUAGAUGAUUGGGCCAAGGUGAUGUGGCAGCAUGAAGCAUCUAAACCAGAAUCUAAACCUAAAUCUGACUCCAAAAUGAGGCACUUUAACUAGCCAAAGCCACCCCUUGGGGCAUCAGUGAGAAACGGUUUGUGCCAGAGGUUCAAAGUCAGCUUGCUAACGCUCCCAUGUGAAACGUCAGACAGGAGGGAUACAAGUCUUCUCCAGCUCUCCAUUCAUAAUGCCACAUCUUGAACCAUGAAAGGUGCUAAUCCUUUUUCUUUAUAACCUACAUUAUCAAAAUACAAUUUCAAUGCACUUCUAAUGGAUCUGAAUGAUGGUAGCAUUUCAGAAGUUCUGAGACAGACUUGUGCAUUCUUUCUUAUUGCUGACCAAGUCUUGCUCUAAGAGUAUUCAGGACAGACAUGAAUUUAGUUCUACUGGACUCAUUUUGGACUGGUGGAGUAUAGAAUUUGGUGACUGAAAUACGGAAAUGAUCCAUUGUAAGACACUCUCGUAUAAAAGGAACUCUUGUGUAGUCAGUCCCCAAAUAAAUUAUAGUAGGCUCUAAUUUAUAUAUAUUAAAUAUAUAAAUAAUGUAUAUUUUAAUAACCGUGAGAUUAAGAGCUUUUCUGGAAAUUCAUUCUGCCAAAGAAUGUCAGGCACAUAACAGAUUAAAGCACCAGGGAAAUCACAGAAUUUUUGACUCCAAACUCCUCAUCUCAUUUUGCAGAUGAGGAAACGGAGGCUUGUGGGAGCUCUUCAUGGCGGCUCCUGAAGUCUCUCACGCUCUUGCCUCAGGUGUCCUCAGCUACUCUAUGGGUUCCACGCCCGAGUCCACUUUACAGUGUGGAAUACUCUGUCAGACUUUUUAUUUCCCAAAUUUUAAGAUUUUCAAAAAUGGAAUUUCUUUAAAAUUAAGUGCUACGUCUUUAGCAGGGGUAGAUCUGAUAGGAUCAUCUCAUCACAACUGAUUUUACGAGCCUCUCCCACAUCUUCCGCUGCCUGGAGUUUUUUUUUUUUUUAAACACAAGCUUGUAA
RNAcentral lists this long non-coding RNA (1555 nucleotides) under Homo sapiens (human). RNAcentral's name for it is "HSALNT0381688". The record is from RNAcentral. Lineage: Eukaryota; Metazoa; Chordata; Mammalia; Primates; Hominidae.